CACGCCGUAAACGAUGGAUACUAGGUGUAGGAGGUAUCGACCCCUUCUGUGCCGGAGUUAACACAAUAAGUAUCCCACCUGGGGAGUACGGCCGCAAGGUUGAAACUCAAAGGAAUUGACGGGGGCCCGCACAAGCAGUGGAGUAUGUGGUUUAAUUCGAAGCAACGCGAAGAACCUUACCAGGGCUUGACAUGCAGGUGAAUAAUGCAGAGAUGUAUUAGUCCUUCGGGACACCUGUGCAGGUGG
RNAcentral lists this ribosomal RNA (246 nucleotides) under uncultured Oscillospiraceae bacterium. RNAcentral's name for it is "partial 16S ribosomal RNA". It matches the Rfam family "Bacterial small subunit ribosomal RNA", at positions 796 to 1041 of the family's 1533-position model. The record is from RNAcentral. Lineage: Bacteria; Bacillati; Bacillota; Clostridia; Eubacteriales; Oscillospiraceae.